UCUGCCAUUGUCAGACAGACUGCCUGAAAACUAUCUAAAAGAUUCAUGUCACAGAUUUUCGUCUGGUGCCAAUGAGAUCCAGUAGCCACCUCUGCAAGAGACAGGGAGCUCUGGGGCAGUACCACCAGAGAGCCAGCUGGAGAGAAAACCACAUACAGGAUCCUUUGCAGUCUCCAAACAGGACACUGCAGAGGUGGCCUUCCACCUCCACUCUGCCUACUCUCCCCUGACACUAGGAAGCUCCGACUGAGGAGUGGAUCUUCAAGAAGACCCUUGACAUGUUUGAUCUGCCCAGAACCAUACACGUGGGGUUGGCCAAACAAAACCCCAGGAUCAACAGGCUCCAUUACAGAAUAGGCUCCCUCGUCAUUACCUGCAGAGUGGAGGAGCUGAGUGCAGCAUUGCAGGAAGGACAGCAGGAGAAAAAUGUCACGAUUGCUGGAAGCUGACAAACAUGUGCACAACAUAUCUGGUGGAAGUAGAUUUCUUAAACCCUUGUGCCUCAUCAUUCAUGAAUUUGUUGCUGUAUCUGAUUUUCCUGUAGAGGCUUUGUAGUGCCCUGUAGCAUUACUCAAUUGAUAGCCAGAAUGAUGCACACUGGCUAGGGGUCUGUGAUGGUUACCCCUGAUUCCAUUUCAAUUAUUUGACAAUGUUUGUACACGGCAUCAGCUCACUCCAACACCUCAACUCCCCCCUCAUCAUCAUUACCUACUGUCCAGCUGCAAACACAGGAGUUCCCCAACGGUAAUGGUGAUAGCGAGGUGCAACAGACGUGGUCAAUGCUGCAGAAUGGCUGGAGUGCUCACCCAGCAUGCCUAUGUGGCCAACAUUUCACCUGUUUGAGGACAAUAUGUUCCACUGUGAAAGCCCAGUGGACAUUUGCAGGUGCAGUUCCCUCCCUUACAAGUUUGUAAUCUUAACCCUCCUAUUGCGAGUCACUCCACAGCCAUUCGCUUGAAUGUUGCAUGCUGUCCAUGUGCUUCAUGAUGGGCGGUGACAGCGGGUGGUCUUCUGCGGGUGACUUUAGCCUCAGAAUUAAUGUGCCAUUGCAACGCCCAACGUCACAUUCUCCAUUUUAGGUGCCCGUUCUGUUAAUCUUACAAGGUUCGUACUUCCACAGGUUAGCACCUGUAUGUGCAAAUAGAACUUCAUGCCUGUUCCUCCAUUCUCCCCACUCCACCAUAUUCUCCAGCCCCUUCCUUCUUAGCUUCUGUGAAUAGAGAUGAUAAUGGCCUGUCACUUCAAGCAAUCUGACCUGCAGUGCCAGCUCCCAUCUGCCCAGCUCCCUGCAAGUAGAUAUACAUAUCCCAACUUCAUCCACCCUGCAACACUAGCCCCUAUGGAGACAAAAGGCUGAUGAUGUGCAUCCUACAACACAAUGGUACAGUCUCCCUGUACAAUACAACUGUAUGCCUGACCAAGGCUAAAGCCCAGGACUAGUAUGGUAGACUAUCUUUAAUAAACUGUGCUGGGGCCCCCUCACAGGAAGAUAGGAUAGUAUAGAAGGCAUUUGGUAUGCUUUCCUUUAUUGGUCAGAGUAUUGAGUACAGGAGUUGGGAGGUCAUGUUGCAGCUGUACAGGACAUUGGUAAGGUCAGGUGAACACAUGCUGA
Molecule: non-coding RNA, 1612 nt
Organism: Chiloscyllium plagiosum (whitespotted bambooshark)
Lineage: Eukaryota; Metazoa; Chordata; Chondrichthyes; Orectolobiformes; Hemiscylliidae
Source: RefSeq, a predicted model, not a curated record